This 269-nucleotide unclassified non-coding RNA is filed under the name uncultured Hypomyces. RNAcentral's name for it is "sequence contains 5.8S rRNA gene". The stretch from base 1 to 53 matches the Rfam family "5.8S ribosomal RNA", at positions 102 to 154 of the family's 154-position model. The record is from RNAcentral. Lineage: Eukaryota; Fungi; Ascomycota; Sordariomycetes; Hypocreales; Hypocreaceae.
GAACGCACAUUGCGCCCGCCAGCACUCUGGCGGGCAUGCCUGUUCGAGCGUCAUUUCAACCCUCAAGCCCCCCAGGGGGCCUGGUGUUGGGGACCGGCCCCGCCUCGUCGCGGGUCGCCGCCCCCUAAAAUCAGUGGCGGUCCUGCCGCAGCCUCCUCUGCGUAGUAGCUUAUGAAACCUCGCACCGGAGCGCGGCUCGGCCACGCCGUUAAACCCCAACUUCUGAAAGUUUGACCUCGGAUCAGGUAGGAAUACCCGCUGAACUUAAG